GCGUGCUCUCUGUGCUUCGAUUUGAUAUGCGAUUACCUGUUGACCUGUUGUAAAGAUAUGUAGUGUUACUUAUGCGCCGUACGGCCGAACCACUGACGACGUAACAGCCACUAACGCAGCUUCGUUCGACGCGCUAUAACGACUCCAGUAUUAGACACGACGCUCUGCUGAAGCUUUUCAGGUCGUUGGCUCUAAAGCAUUGAGUAGUUGCUGGAUAAAGAGUAUUGUUAGCUGUCAGCUGAGCUGCAUAUGGGAGGACCUGUCUUGCAGAGGGUUUGUGUGAGAGAGGAUGUCAGCCUCCAAUCCUGGCAUCGGCAUGAUGAUGAGGCCGAGCUUGGAUUCUCUCUCGUUCCAGGCUAGUAGAGACAAGGAUGCCACGGCGGGAGCGAGCAUCACGGGACGAGCUAGCGCGGCGUGGAGUGAGACUGAGCAGAGCAGUCGGCCAAGUAGCAUCCCCGCAUCGCAUCACGCGGCCGCAGCGGAUACGCCAGCCUCAUCGUGUCGCUGGUAGCAGGGCUCAUCGGGGAUCAGCAGCAGUAGUAACCGCAGCCGCAGCAGCAGCAGUACCACCACCAGCACCAGCAG
Molecule: long non-coding RNA, 585 nt
Organism: Priapulus caudatus
Lineage: Eukaryota; Metazoa; Priapulida; Priapulimorpha; Priapulimorphida; Priapulidae
Exons: 5
Source: RefSeq, a predicted model, not a curated record